This 24-nucleotide non-coding RNA is filed under the name Rattus norvegicus (Norway rat). Lineage: Eukaryota; Metazoa; Chordata; Mammalia; Rodentia; Muridae. The record is from RNAcentral.
CUGAAAAUUCCUGCCUCUGGUGAC